This 278-nucleotide unclassified non-coding RNA is filed under the name plant metagenome. Its description in RNAcentral is "partial contains small subunit ribosomal RNA and internal transcribed spacer 1". The stretch from base 1 to 54 matches the Rfam family "Eukaryotic small subunit ribosomal RNA", at positions 1778 to 1831 of the family's 1831-position model. The record is from RNAcentral.
GGAAGUAAAAGCCGUAACAAGGUUUCCGUAGGUGAACCUGCGGAAGGAUCAUUAUCGAAAUACUUAUUUAGCGUUCCGUGCUAUCCCAUUGUUUUAUUUACCCUGUUGCUUCCACUGGAUGAGUUCCCAUACCUUGUGUUUGAGAAACUUUGGCUUGUGUAAGAUUCAUUCACGGCCAGCCAGUGAGAAGACCAUUUACAAAACCCUGUUAAGAACCAAUUGUCUGAAUAUUUUACUCCAAUGAAAUAAAACUUUCAACAACGGAUCUCUAGGCUCUU